GACGAACGCUGGCGGCGUGCUUAACACAUGCAAGUCGAACGGAAAGGCCCUGCUUUUGUGGGGUGCUCGAGUGGCGAACGGGUGAGUAACACGUGAGUAACCUGCCCUUGACUUUGGGAUAACUUCAGGAAACUGGGGCUAAUACCGGAUAGGAGCUCCUGCUGCAUGGUGGGGGUUGGAAAGUUUCGGCGGUUGGGGAUGGACUCGCGGCUUAUCAGCUUGUUGGUGGGGUAGUGGCUUACCAAGGCUUUGACGGGUAGCCGGCCUGAGAGGGUGACCGGCCACAUUGGGACUGAGGUGCGGCCCAGACUCCUACGGGAGGCAGCAGUGGGGAAUAUUGCACAAUGGGCGGAAGCCUGAUGCAGCAACGCCGCGUGCGGGAUGACGGCCUUCGGGUUGUAAACCGCUUUCGCCUGUGACGAAGCGUGAGUGACGGUAAUGGGUACAGAAGCACCGGCUAACUACGUG
RNAcentral lists this ribosomal RNA (468 nucleotides) under uncultured bacterium. RNAcentral's name for it is "partial 16S ribosomal RNA". It matches the Rfam family "Bacterial small subunit ribosomal RNA", at positions 28 to 507 of the family's 1533-position model. The record is from RNAcentral.